This 484-nucleotide ribosomal RNA is filed under the name uncultured bacterium. RNAcentral's name for it is "partial 16S ribosomal RNA". It matches the Rfam family "Bacterial small subunit ribosomal RNA", at positions 30 to 507 of the family's 1533-position model. The record is from RNAcentral.
AUUGAACGCUGGCGGCAGGCCUAACACAUGCAAGUCGAGCGGAUGCAGGGUGAUUGCUCGUGGAUUCAGCGGGGGACGGGUGAGUAAUGCCGAGGAAUCUGCCUGGUUGUGGGGGAUAACGUCCGGAAACGGGCGCUAAUACCGCAUACCUGCAGAGGGAGAAAGUGGGGGAGCAUCGGACCUUACGCUAUCAGAUGAGUCUAGGUCGGAUUAGCUAGUUGGUGGGGUAAAGGCCUACCAAGGCGACGAUCCGUAACUGGUCUGAGAGGAUGAUCAGCCACACUGGAACUGAGACACGGUCCAGACUCCUACGGGAGGCAGCAGUGGGGAAUAUUGGACAAUGGGCGAAAGCCUGAUCCAGCCAUGCCGCGUGGGUGAAGAAGGUCUUCGGAUUGUAAAGCACUUUAAUUUGGGAGGAAGGGCAGUAGGUUAAUACCUUGCUGUUUUGACGUUACCAACAGAAUAAGCACCGGCUAACUUCGUG